UGGUAAAAGCUUAGGAGUUCUUAGUUGUGCUGUUCAAUAAACAGUGAUGACCCAACACGACGUUGGGUCAAGCAAUCAGCGGCACGACGUCGCAUUGAUUGCGUUUACGUCCGUAUUUAUCACCUAUACCAGCACAUCUUAGAACUACUUAGCU
Molecule: non-coding RNA, 154 nt
Filed under: uncultured Lachnospira sp.
Lineage: Bacteria; Bacillati; Bacillota; Clostridia; Lachnospirales; Lachnospiraceae
Source: RNAcentral